AGCAGGUACGGAGCGUGAACAUUUAAUAUUGCACAGACAAGGAACAGGACAAGAACAGCGUUAGAACCGGGUAACACAACGACAAACAACAAUUAUGUUGAAGCGGGUAACAACCUCGGGAACAGACAGAUAUAGGGGAGGAAAUGAAAGCAUGUGAUUGAGUCCAGGAAGAAGAGUCCACACAACACCACCUGUGUACUGGGUCUGCUGGUCAGUCAACUGAGAUUACGAUACACAGAUGGAGAGCGGAGCAUGGCAGAUUAUGAAGGGGAGUAGUCCAAUAAAGACAUGGACUGACUAUAACAGUUCUACAUCUUACAAUUUUCACAAGGAUUUUGAUGCAUAUAGUCAUGGCUAAUAAACUACACUGACUCCUCAAAUGCAGCUGCAAAUUGGUAUUGGACUGAAAGACAGAGGCAUAAGUCGUCAGAAACCUCAGACAGCAAAGAAACGAAGGCAGCUUCACCAGAGACAGUCCCUGCCGCUGAAAAACCGCUCCACAGCAUGAUGCCAUCACCAUGCUUCACCGUAGGGAUGGUGCCAGGUUUCCCCCAGACGUGACGCUUGGCAUUCAGGCCAAGGAGUUCAAUCUUGGUUUCAUCAGACCAGAGAAUCUUGUUUCUCAUGGUCAGAGAAUCUUUUAGGUGCCUGUCAUGUGACUUUUACCGAGGAGUAGCUUCCAUCUGGCCACUCUGCCAUAAAAGGCCUGAUUGGUGGAGUGCUGCAGAGAUGGUUGUCCUUCAGGAAGCUUCCCCCAUCUCCACAGGGGAACUCUGGAUCUCUGUCAGAGUGACCAUUGGGUUCUUGGUUACCUCCCUAACCAAGGCCAUUCUCCCCCAAUUGCUCAGUUUGGCCAUGUGGCCGGCUCUAGGAAGAGUCUUGGUGGUUACAAACUUCUUCCAUUUAAGAAUGAUGGACGCCACUGUGUUCUUGGGGACCUUCAAUGCUGCAGACAUUAUGUGGUACCCUUUUCCAGAUCUGUGCCUCGACACAAUCCUGUCUCGGAGCUCUACAGACAAUUCCUUCGACCUCAUGGCUUGGUUUUUGCUCUGACAUGCAUUGUCAACUGUGGGACCUUAUAAAGACAGGUGUGUGCCUUUCAAAAUCAUGUCCAAUCAAUUGCAUUAACCACAGAUUCCAAUCAAGUUGCAGAAACAUCUCAAGGAUGAUCAAUGGAAAUUGGAUGCAGCUGAGCUCAAUUUCGGGUCUGAAUACUUAUGUAUUCUGUUUUUCUUUUUAUUAUAAAUGUGUCAACAUUUAUAAACUUGUUUUUAUUUUGUCAUUAUGGGAUAUUGUAUGUAUAUUGAUGAGGAUUUUUAUUUAUUGAAUCCAUUUUAGAAUAAGACUAACGUAACAAAAUGUAGAAAAAGGGAAGGUGUCCAAAUACUUUCAGAAUGCACUGUAGCUAGCUCUCUCACUCUCUCUCUUUUCAAGAUACAGAGGCAGGUAGUCUAGCAGUUAAGAAAGUUGGGCCAGUAACUGAAAAGGUCGCUGGUUUAAGCCUGCAAGGUGGAGAAUUCUUCUGUUCCACCCUUGAGCAAGGCAGUUAACCCCAAACAGAUACUGUUCCCUGGGCGCCGAUGACAUGGG
Oncorhynchus tshawytscha (Chinook salmon) is the source of this 1590-nucleotide long non-coding RNA. Lineage: Eukaryota; Metazoa; Chordata; Actinopteri; Salmoniformes; Salmonidae. The record is from Ensembl.